RNAcentral lists this long non-coding RNA (3637 nucleotides) under Sus scrofa (pig). Its description in RNAcentral is "lncRNA (ENSSSCG00005029036.1)". Lineage: Eukaryota; Metazoa; Chordata; Mammalia; Artiodactyla; Suidae. The record is from RNAcentral.
GGGCUCAGUAGAAAACACAGGCAGGGGAGGCAGUGAGCUCCCACCUCUCAGCAGCAGUUCUUUCCUCCAGGAGUUCCUUUUUCACAUCAAGUCAACUCAACAAGUAUUUGCCAGGCGUCCACUGUGAGCAGGACACUACAUGAAGGCAGAUCUAUGAAGUGAAGGCUGCUCCAGGGAGCUGGAGUUUGUUUGUGCAGCAGCUAAGAAAGGGCUUUGGCGCUGGAGGCUGCGAGGAAGCCAGUAACAGGGAGACUGGCAGAGGGACCCACCCCGCCAUACUCAAAGCAUGAAAAAGUUCCCUGGUCAGGGACUGAAUCUGAGUUAUAGCAGCAACUGGAGCCACUGCAGUGAGAAUCUCUGAUCCUUAACUUGCUGCACCACAAGGGAACUCCAAGAACAGAGCAUCUGGUUCCUGUCACGUCCCUGGUGCCAAGGAGGAGCUACAGCUCUCCCCACACAAAGCGGCCUGGAUGGAAGCCCAGCAGAGCCCUCGAACCCGCGCUGUCACCUUUCUGGUCCCUGGCUAUGUGGCUUGUCUGCUCAACAAAAUGUGUGUUGUUUGUCAACCCCUGGGGCUCCUUUUCCCUCCCUUCCAAAGGGACCACUUUUCUAUUGUGCACCUUUAAAAAGCACAGUCAGGUGAAAGGAAAUGAAGCAGCUUCUUAAAACAAAGGCUAGAAGAGCCUGUGUUCCAAACAGAAUUUUCUGAUCUUUUCACCUUACUUGCUGUUCAGAAGUGGAACUUGAAACUGCCAUCUCAAGUUUUGCUUUGCAAAGGAAAGGAAGUUUUGCACGCAGAAGUUGCUAGGCCAAGGAUCCAACCCAGGUCACAGCAGUGACAAUGCCAGAUCCUUACCUACUGCACCACCAGGGAACCCCAGUUAACCAUGUUUCUAUCACAAAGAAAUAAUUUAGUUUCAAAUCUGAGAAAAAUCGAGGAAGAAUUAAAGAAUCUCAGGCUUUUUCAGAUGUUUGUCCACAUUUGCUGGCAUUUUUUUUUUAAUCAACACAUCUUUUCUGACCAAAAACUAUUCUUUUUAUACUAUUUGAUUGAGAAUUUCAAUUUUUCCCAACAAUCUCAGUGGAGUUUAAAUUUGAGCCUGAGCUACAAUGUUUAAGAUGAAAUCUCUUUCCCACUCUUGCUGGGCCAGAACCCCUAUGGGGGAGGCAGGCAAUCAGCCAACCCCUGAGUUUCCAGGGACCUGCCUUCUGCCGGUCACUGCAGGAACAGGGACCACCAACGCUCGGGGGACAGGAGCCCUGCCACACUCGCUUCCACAUUUAGCCCCAUCCUGAUGGAGACAUCCUGAAUCAUGUAAUGCAGGAAUGAAUCUAUACAACCACACAAUUUAUCUUCAUUUUCAGUAUUCAAAAUCACACACACACACACACCAAACCCACAGAGCUGCAGCUUAGAUUUCACCAUUUCAGUAGCAGAUGUCAUAUACUAUCUUGUUUCAUGGUUUAUCAUGUUUUGCACAGUUGCAGUUAUUUUACUUCCUCUGAGAUGAUGCAACAUUGUGAACUAGAGUGGCACGUGUGUGGUGGGUGCAGGAGGGUAUGUACCUCCUUACUACAGUACUGAGGACCCCUUUUUUUUGUCCAUACCCACGGCAUAUGGAAGUUCCCAAGCCACAGCUACGGCAACACCAGAUCCUUAACCCACUGUGUCUAGCCAGGGAGCAAACCUGCGCUGCCACAGAGACAACACCAGGUCCUUAAUGUGUUGUGCCACAGUGGGAUCUCCUCGAGGACACCUUUUAAUGUUAUUAGUACAACAGGUUAUACUGACAAGGAGACCAGGGUGCUGAAUAUAUAAGGAUCAGGGUCUGCAUUUCCCUAACUGGAUCCUGUCAGAAAAAGAGACAAGAAAGGUAUUGCAUAUUAAUAUAAAGUUUGGGUUCAGAUGCUACUGUGGCAUAGCCCCAUUAUGUGUGAGUAUUCCAACUUCUAGACAGUUUGGGGGCUGUCAUUUGGUCUUCCUCAUAAGACCACCACUAUCUAGACUAUAACUCUAAGCCAGCGCUAGUCUAUCACUCUCUCCUAGAGUUACUAACAUGUUCUUCUAGAACAGGUCUAUGUCUUGCCUGCUUUGUAGCUGAGCCCCUUGCUCAGUGCCUGGCACACCACAGGGCACUGUCAUGGGUGUUCUCCAUGCGCCCCACAGAUCCACGCUCCACCCUUGUCCACCCUGCUCUGUGCUGCAUCGGGAAGGGUUUCUUGCCUCCAACUUCUGGCUGGAUUCUACCAGUGGAGCUCACUGGCAGGAGACUGGGUGAGGGGCAGAGAUUAGAGCCCCUUUGAUCAGGCUUCCAUUUGGCAGAGGCUACAUCCCUCUACUGAAACCGCCAGGGCCAGCAGGUGGCCUCUCCCCUGGCUGUGGUCCUCACUCCCUCUCACCCAUGAUUAUUCCCUCCCUUUCUCCUUCAGGUCUAGGGUAAAGGCUCCCUCUGCUGCUAGUCUCAGCCAGCAUCGGGGUUCUGGGUGAACCCACCCACAUAGUAUCUGCAAAGUUGGGAAGCACACCUAGUUCUCAGUCUGUAUCUCUUAUGCAUGUAAAGAAAUCUCUAGAAGUACUUCUCAAACAGUGCUCCCAAAGUUCACUGGGAAACUGGGACUAAAAGAAGCAGUCAGAGCUUUAGUCCUUGCUCUUAUUUACUUUUUAUUUUACAUACUGGAUUUCCCAGUAAGUUAUAACUGGACAAACAGGGUUACCUAAUUUUUAGUUUAAAAAAAACACAAAGCCACAGAUGCAUUAAGGAACGUUAAGUGGUUUGACAUCAAAGCCUUUAUCUUGUUCACUGAUAAUCCCCAAAAUUUGGAGUAGGGGAGACACAGAGUCAGUCUCUGAUAAAUAUUUGUUGAAAAAAAAACAUGCAUGAAAAUCUAUUAACCCAUUUAAUCCUUACAACAGCCUUAAAAGAAAGAUGUGGCAGGUAUUUUCUCCUAUACUUUCAUAGGAACAAACUCAACUUCAGAGACUUGACCAGAUGCAGGUCAUCUAUACCCCCAAUGAGUUUGAUCCCAGUAGUUUAUUAAAAGUAAAUAUGCCUGGGAGUUCCCAUCAUGGCUCAGAGGAAACAAAUCUGACUAGUAUCCAUGAGGACACAGGUUCGAUCCCUGGCCUCUCUCAGUGGGUUAAGGAUCUGGUGGUGCCAUGAGCUGUGGUAUAGAUCACAGAUGAGGCUUGGAUCUGGUGGUGCUGUGGUGUAGACCUACAGCUACAGCUAUGAUUCAACCCCUAGCCUGGGAACCUCCAUAUGCCAUGGGUUCAGCCCCCCACCCCACCCCAAAAAAGAGUACAUAUGCCUGUAAUAAAAUUGAAAUCAUAUCAAUCAUCUUUUCUGAUGACAACACUAUAACACUAGAAAUUACAAGGAAAAAAACUAUAUGGAGUUCCCAUUAUGGCUCAGCAGGUUAAGAAUCAGACUAGUAUCCAUGAGGAUGAGGGUUUGAUCCCCGACCUCAAUCAUUUGGCUAAAGGAUCCAGCAUUGCUGCGAGCUGUAGUGUAAGUCAGACACAUGGUUCAGAUCUAGCAUUGCCAUGGCUGUGGCAUAGGCUGGCAGCUGCAGCUCCGAUUCGACCCCUAGCCUGGGAUCUUCCAUGUACCAUGGGUAGGACUUAAAAAGACAAAAA